Molecule: long non-coding RNA, 925 nt
Filed under: Zonotrichia albicollis (white-throated sparrow)
Lineage: Eukaryota; Metazoa; Chordata; Aves; Passeriformes; Passerellidae
Description: lncRNA (ENSZALG00000017653.1)
Source: RNAcentral
GGAUAAAAUGCCUUCUGCUGUGACAUUCCUCACAUACUGUGUGCCUUGUGCCAAAGAGAAACACAUGAGGAGGUAAUGUCCUAGAGACUGCUUGACUAUAUUUUGAGUGGCAUAGCAGAGUCCUUCUCAGCCCAUCUACUCUCAAGAUGUCCUUAGUGGAGCGUGCUUUCCUUUUGUGUUUCUGCAGGUUCUUUCACCUUUCUCUGCAGAAAUCCCAACACAUCUGUUCAACAACCCCACCUCCAGCUGAGAAGAAGGUCCUGGGGAACCUCAUCGCACUGAGGGAGAGCAGAUCCAAGUCAGCUUUUAUCCAGAAUGGUUCAGGAGAUGCACAUAGUGCUUAGCCUUUCCUUUUCUGCUGACUCCUUGAGCCCCCACUCUGAGGAACUACUGAAAAAUCUUCUGUUCUACCACUGAACAUGAGGAGUGCACCCAAGUGGCCAAGAAAGUGCUCCAGACACCAGAGCAGCGAUUUCCCUGCAGCUUGCGUUGAUGACCAUGGCAAGGCAGGCUGUCCCCCUGCAGCCCAUGGAAAUCUGUUGUGGAACAGGUAACCACUGCCCAAGAGCAGGUGGAUUUGCCUUGAGGAAAGAUAUGAUGCCAUGGGAGGAUGCUUCUGGCAGGACUGUUGGCCCCGUAGAGAGAGGAGCCCAUCCUGGAGCAUGUUGGUGACAUCCAUGACCGACUACAUCCCCUGCAAAUGACCCACACUGUAGUAAUUUGAGAAAUAGCAACAACCCAAGAGAAGGAAUUACAUUGGAGAAGUUCUUGGAGGACUGUCUCCCAUGGGAGGGAUCCCACACUAUAGCAGGGGAAGUGUAUGAGGAGUCCUUCCCCUGAGGAGGAAGGAGCACCAGACACAACAUGUGAUGAACUGACCACAACUCCCAUUCUCUGUGCCCCUGCACCACUCGGGAAAAAGCGA